RNAcentral lists this unclassified non-coding RNA (244 nucleotides) under plant metagenome. RNAcentral's name for it is "partial contains small subunit ribosomal RNA, internal transcribed spacer 1, and 5.8S ribosomal RNA". The stretch from base 196 to 244 matches the Rfam family "5.8S ribosomal RNA", at positions 1 to 49 of the family's 154-position model. The record is from RNAcentral.
UCUCCGUUGGUGAACCAGCGGAGGGAUCAUUACAGGACUCGCAAGACUCCUUCACCCUGUGAACCUCACUACAAGCACGUUGCUUCGGCGGGUGUCCCGGCGGGGGUUUUCCCUCGCCGGGGCGCACAGCCCGCCGGCAGCCUACUAUACUCUGUCUCUUUGCGUUGGCAUCUCGAGAAAAAACAAACAAGUUAAAACUUUCAACAACGGAUCUCUUGGUUCUGGCAUCGAUGAAGAACGCCGC